Molecule: long non-coding RNA, 1963 nt
Organism: Anolis carolinensis (green anole)
Lineage: Eukaryota; Metazoa; Chordata; Lepidosauria; Squamata; Anolidae
Exons: 4
Source: RefSeq, a predicted model, not a curated record
GCCUUGAUCCAUGGCUGGUUUCUCUUCUCUUAGGAUUAAGGGAGUAUGCUGACUUCAGAUCAAGGGCAGGACCCUCUGUCUCGCUCACAUUCAUUCAAAAGGACUUGAAAACUCAGAUGAGGCAUGGUAAUACUAAGGUGGGAAGUGGAGAUUGGUUCUGGGGUUACUGGCAGGACAUGAAAUGGAGAGGAGAUUUGAUCCACCAGUGAAAUACUACUGCUGUUGCCAAAAGAAGCAGACAGAAACUAUAAAUCAAGGAGUAAAAGAAAAUCUGAGGAAUCCCAAGGGAACAAAGCUGCUUGGAAUGUUUCCACAGGGAAGAAAAACAGGACAACUCCAGACUGCCCUCCUAAACGUCAGAAAAAUCUGAAGACGUGGAUGUGGGACCAAGCCUUUGGUUAAUUUAUCAGUGCAAUAUGUGAAUGUGGAAUGGUGCAAUGAUAACUGGAAUGGCCUGGACUAUAAUAUUGGAUUAUGUGAUUUUUAAUCAUUUUAAUGUGGAAAUGUUAUUAGCGUCUUGUGUGCACCGCUCUGAGUCUCCUUUGGGGUGAGAAGGGCGGGAUAUAAAUAUGGCAAAUAAAUAAAUGAGGCAAGUGAUUCAAACAAUAUUGGUGUAUGCAGAUCACACUAUUGGGAACACUAGCAGUGUGCACUGUUAGAGGAUUCCUAACAGUAGGCUGUUAGGAAUUGUGGGAACUGAAGUCCGAAACACCUGGAAGGCUGCCCAUGCCUAGGAUAGAGUGUCAACUUGCCAUUUGGAAAAUGGAACCCCUUCAACAUUAGACAAUUUGUUAACCAUGUUAAUGACUUUUUAGUAGCUUGAAAAUAUAAUAGAAGUUCCAAUAUUAUUACAGUAUGCAACUAAAACUUAUGUUGAAUUAAUAUUUUAAUUAAAAAUAAUAAAAUAAUAAUAGUUGCAGAUGGGCACCUUUUGUCUCCUGGCAACCAAUAUUUUUAGAACCAGGCCACCACUGAACAAAGCAUGCAAGUAGAAUUGGGAAAUAACAUUGGGUAUGUGCACAAGAUGGGAAGCUCCACUCAAAUCUCACCUCAAUUAUAAAUCUGCCACAACAUUUCAUUAAGUGACAAUUUUUCAUUGGUGUGCUUUGUGUUCACAACCACCUCUUUUCACCUGCCUCCGUCUGUUCUUGCAACCUCGCUGCUACCCACAUGUAGAUGCUCCUGCUUGAAUGCAUAACACACCUCCACCAUCAAGUCUUGUGUUCCUCCUGCUCACUAACCAGGGACUAUUCCUACCUGGCAAGAAUGUUGAACUCUUACCAUUAGUUGCUCAGUUGAUCUCUUUUUCUAAUUCUUGCUGCUUGCCUCUGCUAGCUGUCUGCCUUGCCAAUCUGUCAGUGUUGCCAUUCUGACCUAUCUUUUGCACCUUUUAUGGGUAACAAAGGCCAUCUUAUAUCAUUUAUAAAUGUUGCAGUAGACAAGUCACAGAAUAGUCCACCCCUUUACCAGACAGUAUACUUACAGUGAAUCUGUCUAGUCCUGUUGCUCCUGCAUUCCCAACAAAUAUUCCUGAGCUGGAUUCAAAGAGCAAGGCAUGAGGCGAUCUCUGGAAACUGACCCUGUGAUAUUCCUCACAGUCUAUGAACAAGACAAUGUCAUUGUCCUCUACAGCCAUAGUAAAGCGAUUCCAUUUGUUGGUCAUCACUGGGACUUUAAAGGAUGCAGCUUCUCGGGAUAUGUGAGAACCUGGUUCAGUGUAGUACAUAAUGAUUCUCUGUGUGUUAUCAUCCACAGGCGAUAGUCUGAUGCCCAAGUAUAUUGUCUUCUGAAAGGCAUCAGUUAUGGCAAACAAUACCCCUCCAUGGUCACUAUUUGGUUUGACGGUAACAGUGAUUGCAAAAUCCUUGUAGAAUGGCUGAGGUAUCAAAGUUCUUGUCAGGCGGCCUAUGUUUGCUUCUGGUCCAAAAUUGUAAGCUGGAAAUCCUCCAUAUCCAGUGAUAAA